AAAAUGCCCAAAAUAAGCCCUAAAAUCUCAUUCUAGGGUUUCAUCUCAAAACCACCAAUAAAAAUUCAAUCUAGAGGGAGAGAACAAGUAGAUUACCUCUUAGAAGCUUCAAUCUAGGCUCUAAAUCCUCUAACCUCAGAGAUCUUCCCUUAACAAGGCUCCAAAUCCAAACUUCAAGCUUCAACAAUAGUGGAAUUGCACCAAAAGAGAAAAAGAGAGAGAGAUUAAACCCUUAAUCCAAGCUAAAAAUGAGAUCAAAACCAAAGGAGAAGCAUGGAGGAGCUCCCCUUACCUUCUCUCAGCACUGGCAGGCUCAAAGAGCAGCCCUAGGGGCGUGGGUGCUGUUAUAGAGAUGCCACAAUCGCAAAAAACCCCCUGCAGUUCAAACUGCUCAA
RNAcentral lists this long non-coding RNA (395 nucleotides) under Ananas comosus (pineapple). RNAcentral's name for it is "long non-coding RNA (ACOM_LNC002290)". The record is from RNAcentral. Lineage: Eukaryota; Viridiplantae; Streptophyta; Magnoliopsida; Poales; Bromeliaceae.